CUCUAAUAAACUGCAAGAAAGUAAAAUGCCUCUCCCCACAGGAUUUUGCAUAUUAAGAAUGCCACUACUGUCCCAAUAGAUGCAAGAUGAGGCAUAAAUUAGUACCAGUUAUUUUGGAGCUUUAGGAUACUUCCUACCACCACUGCCCCACCCACCCUUCGACGCGGCUGCCUCGGUUUCCCGGACCAGCAGUGUGUGCACACGACCCCGUGGUCUGCAACUACCAGAGCGUUCCAAACGAGUCCGAAGCCUCGGCUCCUCUCCCCGCACCUCCCCCUCCUGGAGCCCUCGGUGGCCCGCUGACGUUUCCUGGACGUUGUGAACUCGCAGUAAGAAUGGAUCCACUGUCUGCGCACAUUCUUAAGGGCAGGAAACCUGACCCACCCCAAAACCACGCGCUCCCAAGGAAGGGCACUUGCAUUUUCCGGGAGGGCAGGCCUCUGCCAGGUUAGCGGGGCUGGCC
RNAcentral lists this long non-coding RNA (463 nucleotides) under Equus caballus (horse). RNAcentral describes it as "lncRNA (ENSECAG00000049997.1)". Lineage: Eukaryota; Metazoa; Chordata; Mammalia; Perissodactyla; Equidae. The record is from RNAcentral.